AUUGAAAGCUGGCGGCAUGCUUUACACAUGCAAGUCGAACGGCAGCGCGGGCUUCGGCCUGGCGGCGAGUGGCGGACGGGUGAGUAAUGCAUCGGAACGUGCCCAGUAGUGGGGGAUAGCCCGGCGAAAGCCGGAUUAAUACCGCAUACGACCUGAGGGUGAAAGCGGGGGACCGAAAGGCCUCGCGCUAUUGGAGAGGCCGAUGUCGGAUUAGCUAGUUGGUGGGGUAAAGGCUUACCAAGGCGACGAUCCGUAGCUGGUCUGAGAGGACGACCAGCCACACUGGGACUGAGACACGGCCCAGACUCCUACGGGAGGCAGCAGUGGGGAAUUUUGGACAAUGGGGGCAACCCUGAUCCAGCCAUGCCGCGUGCGGGAAGAAGGCCUUCGGGUUGUAAACCGCUUUUGUUCGGGAAGAAAUCCUCUGGGCUAAUACCCCGGGGGGAUGACGGUACCGGAAGAAUAAGCACCGGCUAACUACGUG
This 484-nucleotide ribosomal RNA is filed under the name uncultured bacterium. Its description in RNAcentral is "partial 16S ribosomal RNA". It matches the Rfam family "Bacterial small subunit ribosomal RNA", at positions 29 to 507 of the family's 1533-position model. The record is from RNAcentral.